AUUGAACGCUGGCGGCAUGCUAUACACAUGCAAGUCGAACGGUAACAGGCCGCAAGGUGCUGACGAGUGGCGAACGGGUGAGUAAUGCAUCGGAACGUGCCCAGUCGUGGGGGAUAACUACUCGAAAGAGUAGCUAAUACCGCAUACGAUCUAUGGAUGAAAGCGGGGGACCGUAAGGCCUCGCGCGAUUGGAGCGGCCGAUGUCAGAUUAGGUAGUUGGUGGGGUAAAGGCUCACCAAGCCAACGAUCUGUAGCUGGUCUGAGAGGACGACCAGCCACACUGGGACUGAGACACGGCCCAGACUCCUACGGGAGGCAGCAGUGGGGAAUUUUGGACAAUGGGCGCAAGCCUGAUCCAGCAAUGCCGCGUGCAGGAAGAAGGCCUUCGGGUUGUAAACUGCUUUUGUACGGAACGAAACGGCUCUGGUUAAUACCCGGGGCUAAUGACGGUACCGUAAGAAUAAGCACCGGCUAACUACGUG
RNAcentral lists this ribosomal RNA (482 nucleotides) under uncultured bacterium. RNAcentral's name for it is "partial 16S ribosomal RNA". It matches the Rfam family "Bacterial small subunit ribosomal RNA", at positions 30 to 507 of the family's 1533-position model. The record is from RNAcentral.